This 292-nucleotide ribosomal RNA is filed under the name uncultured bacterium. Its description in RNAcentral is "partial 16S ribosomal RNA". It matches the Rfam family "Bacterial small subunit ribosomal RNA", at positions 505 to 796 of the family's 1533-position model. The record is from RNAcentral.
GUGUCAGCAGCCGCGGUAAGACGAACCGUGCGAACGUUGUUCGGAAUCACUGGGCUUAAAGGGCGCGUAGGCGGCUCGCAAAGUCAGGGGUGAAAUCCUCCAGCUUAACUGGAGAAGUGCCUUUGAUACUGGCGAGCUCGAGCGAGGUAGGGGCGGGUGGAACUUCCGGUGGAGCGGUGAAAUGCGUUGAUAUCGGAAGGAACGCCGGUGGCGAAAGCGACCCGCUGGACCUCUUCUGACGCUGAGGCGCGAAAGCUAGGGGAGCGAACGGGAUUAGAAACCCCCGUAGUCC